GAGUUUGAUCCUGGCUCAGAACGAACGCUGGCGGCAUGCCUAACACAUGCAAGUCGAACGGGAUCCUGGCUUCGGCCAGGUGAGAGUGGCGGACGGGUGAGUAACGCGUGGGAACCUGCCCAAUGGUCUGGGAUAACCGCGGGAAACUGCGGCUAAUACCGGAUAAGCCCGAGAGGGGAAAGAUUUAUCGCCGAUGGAGGGGCCCGCGUCCGAUUAGGUAGUUGGUGAGGUAACGGCUCACCAAGCCGACGAUCGGUAGCUGGUCUGAGAGGACGAUCAGCCACACUGGGACUGGGACACGGCCCAGACUCCUACGGGAGGCAGCAGUGGGGAAUAUUGGACAAUGGGGGCAACCCUGAUCCAGCCAUGCCGCGUGAGUGAUGAAGGCCUUCGGGUUGUAAAG
This 403-nucleotide ribosomal RNA is filed under the name uncultured Alphaproteobacteria bacterium. RNAcentral describes it as "bacterial SSU rRNA". It matches the Rfam family "Bacterial small subunit ribosomal RNA", at positions 9 to 430 of the family's 1533-position model. The record is from RNAcentral. Lineage: Bacteria; Pseudomonadati; Pseudomonadota; Alphaproteobacteria.